AGUGAACGCUGGCGGUAGGCCUAACACAUGCCAGUCGAACGGCAGCACAGUAAGAGCUUGCUCUUACGGGUGGCGAGUGGCGGACGGGUGAGGAAUACAUCGGAAUCUACUUUUUCGUGGGGGAUAACGUAGGGAAACUUACGCUAAUACCGCAUACGACCUACGGGUGAAAGCAGGGGAUCUUCGGACCUUGCGCGAUUGAAUGAGCCGAUGUCGGAUUAGCUAGUUGGCGUGGUAAAGGCCCACCAAGGCGACGAUACGUAGCUGGUCUGAGAGGAUGAUCAGCCACACUGGAACUGAGACACGGUCCAGACUCCUACGGGAGGCAGCAGUGGGGAAUAUUGGACAAUGGGCGCAAGCCUGAUCCAGCCAUACCGCGUGGGUGAAGAAGGCCUUCGGGUUGUAAAGCCCUUUUGUUGGGAAAGAAAAGCAGCAGGUUAAUACCCCGCUGUUCUGACGGUACCCAAAGAAUAAGCACCGGCUAACUUCGUG
This 492-nucleotide ribosomal RNA is filed under the name uncultured bacterium. Its description in RNAcentral is "partial 16S ribosomal RNA". It matches the Rfam family "Bacterial small subunit ribosomal RNA", at positions 29 to 507 of the family's 1533-position model. The record is from RNAcentral.